This 648-nucleotide ribosomal RNA is filed under the name Lichtheimia corymbifera. RNAcentral's name for it is "eukaryotic LSU rRNA". It matches the Rfam family "Eukaryotic large subunit ribosomal RNA", at positions 106 to 650 of the family's 3401-position model. The record is from RNAcentral. Lineage: Eukaryota; Fungi; Mucoromycota; Mucoromycetes; Mucorales; Lichtheimiaceae.
AGCUCAAGUUGGAACCUGGCUGCCCUAGGCAGUCCGGAUUGUAAACUAAAGAGCGUGAUUCCAGGCAAGCCGGUUGACCAAGUCCUUUGGAAUGAGGCGCACUGAGGGUGAGAGCCCCGUAAGUCGACUGAGCAUUUGUCUUUUUGUGUUUCGCGUUCAAAGAGUCAGGUUGUUUGGGAAUGCAGCCUAAAGCUGGUGGUAAAUCCCACCUAAAGCUAAAUACAGGCGAGAGACCGAUAGCGAACAAGUACCGUGAGGGAAAGAUGAAAAGAACUUUUGAAAAGAGAGUUAAACAGUAUGUGAAAUUUGCCAAGAGGGAAGCAUUUUGGAGUUUAGAUUUGACUAGGAGUUAAUCAGCUUUGGUCUUUGGACUGGGUGUAUUUUGAUUUCUUACAGUCUGCCAAUAGCAGUUAGUCCUAGUGGAAAAAACCAGAGGGAAGGUAGUCCUUCGGGAUGUUUAUAGACCUUUGGAAAAUACACUGGGAUUGACUGAGGAAUGCAGUAGAUGCCACUAAGGCUUCGUCUAGUGGGUGCUAGGCAAAGGUACUUGGUAUUUUCAGCUUGCUGAUGUACUAGGUUACUCGAGUCUAGUCGCCUACUAGAACUGUAAUCUACUUUGGUUAUUGGCUUAAUGACUCUAAAUGGCCC